CCUACGGGUGGCAGCAGUCGAGAAUCAUUCACAAUGGGGGAAACCCUGAUGGUGCGACGCCGCGUGGGGGAAUGAAGGUUUUGGGUUUUUAAACCCUUUUCAUGUGGGAGAAAAUUAAAAAGUUAGUACCACAAGAGGAAGCGACGGCUAACUCUGUGCCAGCAGCCGCGGUAAUACGGAGGGCUUAAGCGUUGUUCGGAAUCACUGGGCGUAAAGCGUGCGUAGGCUGUUUAGAAAGUUGUAUGUGAAAGGCGCGGGCUUAACCCGAGAACGGCAUAUGAUACUGUGAGACUAGAGUAAUGGAGAGGGAGGCGGAAUUCUCGGUGUAGGAGUGAAAUGCGUAGAGAUCGAGAGGAAUACUCGUGGCGAAGGCGGGUUCCUAGACAAUAACUGACGCUGAGGCGCGAAGGCGUGGGGAGCAAACGGGAUUAGAUACCCGGGUAGUC
Molecule: ribosomal RNA, 446 nt
Filed under: uncultured bacterium
Lineage: Bacteria
Description: partial 16S ribosomal RNA
Rfam family: Bacterial small subunit ribosomal RNA
Source: RNAcentral